This 64-nucleotide transfer RNA is filed under the name Cricetulus griseus (Chinese hamster). It matches the Rfam family "tRNA". From Rfam's summary of the family: Transfer RNA (tRNA) molecules are approximately 80 nucleotides in length. Lineage: Eukaryota; Metazoa; Chordata; Mammalia; Rodentia; Cricetidae. The record is from Rfam by way of RNAcentral.
GUUCAUGUAGCUUAAUAAAGCAAAAUACUGAAAAUGCUUAGAUGGAUUUUUAAUCCCAUAGACA